GAUGAACGCUGGCGGCGUGCCUAAUACAUGCAAGUCGAGCGAACGGACGAGAAGCUUGCUUCUCUGAUGUUAGCGGCGGACGGGUGAGUAACACGUGGAUAACCUACCUAUAAGACUGGGAUAACUUCGGGAAACCGGAGCUAAUACCGGAUGAUAUUUUGAACCGCAUGGUUCAAAAGUGAAAGACGGUCUUUCUUUCACUUAUAGAUGGAUCCGCGCUGCCUUAGCUAGUUGGUAAGGUAACGGCUUACCAAGGCAACGAUGCAUAGCCGACCUGAGAGGGUGAUCGGCCACACUGGAACUGAGACACGGUCCCGACUCCUACGGGAGGCAGCAGUAGGGAAUCUUCCGCGAUGGACGAAAGCCUGACGGAGCAACGCCGCGGAAGUGAUGAAGGUCUUCGGAUCGUAAAGCUCUGUUAUUAGGGAAGAACAUAUGUGUAAGUAACUGUGCACAUCUUGACGGUACCUAAUCAGAAAGCCACGGCUAACUACGUG
This 497-nucleotide ribosomal RNA is filed under the name uncultured bacterium. RNAcentral's name for it is "partial 16S ribosomal RNA". It matches the Rfam family "Bacterial small subunit ribosomal RNA", at positions 28 to 507 of the family's 1533-position model. The record is from RNAcentral.